UGCAAACACACACACACCUCACAUUAUAAAUAUGACCAAUAAGUGAUGAGAAAAUACAAACAUAAACAGAUCCAUUUUACAAUAGUAGCCCAGUAAAAUUUCACCCCGUCUCCAAUGCUGUCACUCUAGUCUACCCAGCAUCCAACCAUCUAUGCUUUCACUCGUCUGUUUGCCUCCACCCUUGAUUUCCCAUAGUCUGUUUCAGCAAGGCAACCAAAGUUAUCUUUUUUUUUCUUUCUUUCCAUCAGAGGUAUCUUUUAAAGCAGAAUUAUGUUUAUUUAUAACCUCUGAUAACUGCAUUCUCACUCAAAGUAAAAGCCAAAGACCAUACAGGACCUUAUACAAUCAUGGCUCCCUUUAUGUCUGUGACUUCAUUUUCUGAAACUAUCCACUUAGCUCUGUCUGCUCAGGCCACACUGGCUUCCCUCCUCUUCUUAGAACAUGCCAAAUAUGCUUUCAUCUCAGAUGUUACUCCUCUCAUAUGCUGUUGCUUUGUCCUAACUACAGUUUCCCAUUUAUCCACAGGACUUACUCUUUCACCUCCUCCAGUUAUUUAUUUAAAGAUCACCCUAUUUGUGAAGUCCUUACAGGUUCAUCCUAUUAAGACUUGUAUUGCCCACCCCAGAGGCCAAGCAUAUUCCUGUCCCUGACUUUGGACUAAGCCAUGUUACUUGUUUUGGCUGAUGAAACUCAGAAAAGAAUUCCGGUGUGCUAGUUCCUUAAGAGAUAUGCAUACUUUCAUUUGUCCUACCCUUCUAUAUCACCAUGAGAAGGACAUGAUAAGGUUAGCCUCUUGGUCCAAAGAGGAUGAGACACCCAUGAGACAGAUUCAUACCCAAUCUGCAGCUUAGAGCUGUCCAGCCUGCCACGUGUCUCUAUCACCUGACUCCUAGACAAUUGCUUUUGAUAUACAGAUGCCAGAGAGAUUAUGUGCUUGUUAUAUACUUGACUGAUGUAGUGACCUUGUUAAGAGCUGUGUCAUUGAAAUGAUGGAUAGAGAGCCCGUCUGAAAUAAGUUCACAUGAGAAUGGGUAGAAAAUAAUUGAGUAUAGAUAGUAUCACAAAACUUCCAUACAGUUUUUCCCAUAAAUGUGGUAUAAGAAAUUGGAAAGUGUCUAGAGAGAGAUGUGGAGUAAAAAAUAAUUUCUUUUUGGAUGACAGAACUGACAGCAUGUUUGCAUGCUGAUGAGAAUGAUCCAGUACAAUGGAAGAGUAGGGGGAAUGAUGAUGCCAGAAAGAAGGUGGAGAAUGACUCCAUUCACUCUGGAGGAUACCAUGUAUAUAAGUGGAGAUUUUGAAUUAAGGAAGUUUCAAAUUCAGGUUGUCCUGACAUGAAAAUUCACAUAUUUUCUAUUAAAAUGUGCUGUCAAGCUUCUUUCUCUAAAAGCAGUAAAAUGUGGAAUGAUAGUAGGAAUAUAGGUAGUAAAGCCAAUUUAGUGGAAUGAUAAUUUAAAGUCCAGAGAUCUUCCUAUCAUAUGCCUUUAAUUAGAUAGAUGCAUGAUCUCAAGCAGUCCUCUAAUUAUUUGGAUCACUUCAUUUCCUCGCCUAUUAUAAAAUGAAUAGAGAGAUGAGUUCUAAAUUUCCUCAUCUAGCUCUAAAAUUGUAUUAUUCCAAGACCUGACAAUUAUGCUUCAAAUGCCCCUCUGAGAGGUGUUUCCAUCAUUAUGUAAGUGCAUAGCUUACUGGCAUUCUCCUCUAUAACAGAUCUCAAAAUGUCUCUUUCACAGUAACAUCCCAAACUCACCUAAAGUCAGAUAUUUUAGAAUAUCUGACAUCUGCUUAGUCUCCCAAGACUGGCGGAAUGGAUUGAAUAAUAGUUAUUUUAGGAUGUAAUUGCUGCACUGUUAAAAAAUAAAUCCCUCUGCAACUAAAUAAUGUCACAUUUCUGAGCCACUUAUGUAACCAAAAUGAUUUAUCCAAAUAAAAGAGCAUAAUUUUAAAAGUCAUUGCAAACGGCUUUCAUCCCUAGCCCUCUGUGCUGUUAAAGUGUGAUUCUCCAUAGAUUUUAGCUAUGUAUAAUAAUGGCAGCUUUCUAAUAUUUCAUGUUAAGAAAUCUGAGCUUAAUAGCAAUAAAGAAAAUUAGGAUAUAGAAUAUAGGAAAGGGAAUAUGAAAGUACCUAAAAAGCCCUAAAUACCUUGGGGUAAAUAGAAGGUAGUGGUAAGCAAUUGUGGAAAAAGAUUAAAAAGCUGACAGUACUUGAUUGGUUCCUAUACAAACAAUAGAGAAGGAGUUGACAACCACAAGGAAUAAUGUAAAUGUAAAUGAAUACCUGAGGGGAAGAGAUUGAGAAGACAAAGGGGGGAAAAAAAGGAAGAAAUUUGUAGUAAACUUAACUUUGAAUAUUCAUACUCAGAGUAACUAACAGUUUGUAGUUUUAAAGAGCAACCCACUAAGCACAGGGUUUGGGGAUGUGGAUAAAUAAUGAUAGGUGAAUAUAAACAAAAUAUGGAUAGAUAGAAAAAGUUGGCAUCUUCUGAGUAUGAAUAACUAUGCUUUAUUUAAAAUUGUAUGAUUUUAAAGGAUAUCAAGAAAUUUGUCAUGAGGUACUAACUGGAAAUGGGCAAUACCAGUGCAUAUUAAAAUCCUCAGUAAUCCAUAAAUUAAGAAUUACAGUGGCCUGGAGUAGGUGAUUGGAUAAAAAAACAAGACCCAUCUCUAUGCCAUAUAUAACACAUUAGACCUAUUGUACUUAAUAGAUAACUACAGGACACCCCAUCCAAAAAUAGCACAAUACACAUUCUUCUCAAGUGCACAUGGAACUUUCUCUAGGAUAGAUCACAUACUAGAACACAAAACAUGUAUUAACAAAUGUAAAAAGAUAGAAAUUAUAUUAAACAUCUUUUCUGACCAUAUCAAUAAUUAAGUGGAAAUCAAUUAUAGGAAGAAUGGAAAAAACACAAAUACAAGACUAAAUAUCAUGCUAUAAAAAACCAAUUAGUUAGUAGAGAAAUCAAAGAGAAAAUAAGAAAAUACCUUGAGAUAAAUAAAAAUAAAAAUACAGGUUUUCAAACUCUGUGGGACACAGCAAAAACUGUUCAGAAAGGGAAGUUAAUAGUGAUACAGGCCUACUUCAAGGAACAAGAAAAAUCUAAAUAAACAACCUAACUUUCCAUCUAAAGUAAUGAGAAAAAGAAGAACAAACAAAGCCCAAAGUCAGCAGAAAGAAGGAAAUAAUAAAAAUCAGAAUAUAGUAAGAGAAUAAAAAAAGCAAUAGAAAAAAAAUCAAUGAAGCCAAAACCUGAUUUUUUUGUAAGAUAAGCAAAAUUGAUGUCUUUAGCAAGUCUCAUUAAGAAAAAC
RNAcentral lists this long non-coding RNA (3298 nucleotides) under Sus scrofa (pig). Its description in RNAcentral is "lncRNA (ENSSSCG00040010430.1, ENSSSCG00050062400.1, ENSSSCG00060038395.1)". The record is from RNAcentral. Lineage: Eukaryota; Metazoa; Chordata; Mammalia; Artiodactyla; Suidae.